Long non-coding RNA from Pogoniulus pusillus (Red-fronted tinkerbird), 6489 nucleotides. RefSeq lists it as uncharacterized. The record is from RefSeq and is a predicted model, not a curated record. Lineage: Eukaryota; Metazoa; Chordata; Aves; Piciformes; Lybiidae. The transcript has 2 exons.
CUAAUCUUCUGCCUCUUUCCUUUUAUUGGGUUUCCAUUUUGGUUUGGUUUGUUCCACCUCUGCCUCCCCCCCCCCCCCCCCCUCCACCUUCGGUGUAACUCACACAGUACUGACACUGAGCAAUAGGCAAAGUCUUUCUCUCUCUCUCUCUUUCUCUCUGUCUCUCUCUUUGGUCCUGUCCUUUGGAAAGCUCAAAAGCUUCACUUUUUGUCUUUGUUUUUGGUUGUUUCCUCCAGCAUUGCCCAAGUGGUGCAAAGCUCUUCCCCCCCUCCCCCCUCCCACCCUCCACUCCUCUGUUCUUUUGGGUUCUUUCCCUUCGCUUUCCGUUCGUCGUCGUUGGGUUUCUUCUCUGGCUUAGUAAGAGUUGGUUGAUGUCCUUCAGGGCUUCCCUGGUGACAAGCAGAGCUCUGCUAGGUUUAUCUUGGUUGGAAUGGGGUUGGUCCUUAGUUGAAGAGUAGGAAUGAUUUCAUCUUCCAUCCAAUGAGCAAAAGAAUUGGUGUCUUCCAGCUGGCUGUGGUGAGAGACCAUCACCUCGUCCCUUCUGCUCUGGGAGUGAGAGGAUAGCCAAGAGGCAGUGGUCUUAGGAAGCAGGAGGACAGGUCACCAGCAGGUCUUUGGGCUGCUCUUUCCAACUGGGCAAAGAGGUUUUUGUGUCAUCAGGCAGCUGCCUGCAUCUGGAACCUCUUGGGAGGGUGAGAUGCUCCCCAUCGGCCACGUCUUGGGGCAUGCUAAGGGAGAAGCUUCCUCCUCCCUGUGUGGCUACCACUUGCAGGCAGGUGGCUGUUGAAGGGAACAAGGAAUUGGUCUGAAGAGCUUGGCCAGCUCCAAGGAACGGUCUGAAGGGAGCUUCUUCAGGUGCAGGAGUUGAUCUGAAUUGCUUCUUUAGGUCUGAAGAGGCCUUCCAGUUGUAAGGGCUUGUCUGAAGGAGCUGCUCCAGCUCCAAGCGUUGGCCUGAAAGGUUUUGCCAAGUCCAGGGGGUGGUCUGAAGAGGUUCUUCAGGUCCAGGAGUUGAUCUGAAUUGCUUCUUCAUAUUCAAGGGUUGGUUGGAAGAGCUUCUCCAGGUCCUGUAGUUAGUCCAAAGAGCUUUGCCAAGUUCAGGGGCUGCUCUGAAGAGGUUCUCCAGGUCCUGUAGUUGGUCCAAAGUGCUUCUUCAAGUGCUGGGAUUGGCCUGAAGAGCUUUAGGUCCAGCAGUUGAUCUGAAAAGAUCCUCCAGAUCCUGUGCUUGGUGUGAAGAGCUUCUGCAGUGUCUGCUGGUGUGGGGAAAGAGAGUGGCUGGUUGAAGGAGUCUUUGGGGCAGGGUGAGGGACAAGAUGAGUGGCUUCACCCUGCACCCAUGUCGUUGGCAGGUCUGAGACCAAACUCUGGCACCUCCACAACAGUUGAGGUGCCCCCUUCCAGUUCUCUGGGGGACAUCUGGUUUGGAGGCCUCCAGGAGAAAUGCUGAUCCAAGCACAAAUCCUGGCUCCACAGAGGAAGGCUGGAGAGGAGGAGGAUGUUCAGCUGCUCUGCUUGGGGAGAAGUGGGAGGAGGAGGAAGCCAUAGCAAUAGACAUGUCCCCAUCCUCAUGGGAAGGCACCUGAGAAAAGGUGGAGAGCAAGGAAGGAAGGAGAGGCAGAGCUGAUGUGGAGCAGGCUGGGGGGCAGUGGGCACACAGAGCCUGUGGGCAUCACUUCUGGGGGUGGGGGUUGACUUAGGCAAGGAGAUGAGGACAUGAAGCAUGACUGCAGCUGGUGACAUCCCAGCUUGGGGUGUCCAAGGAGAGCAAUAAGUUGUCUUGAGGGCAGCAGAGGGAGUCCAGAUGUGCAGACAGGGCUGGUGGGCAGGUGGGUUUUAAACCAAACCCACCACAGGAACCAGGUUCUGCUGCUGCUGCUCCUCACCCUGAGACAAAACCAUGGCUUUGGUGGUCCCCUCAAGCAUGCCCAGACGAGUUACAGCCACAGCCACUGGUGUGUGUGCACUGCUCAUGGCUCCUGGGCUCCAGGGUUGGCACAGCUGAUCACACCCAGAGCCUUUAAAGAGGUCAAGCUAGGAGGUGUGGAUGGGAAGCUCUCAAGCUAGCAGGUGUGGAUGGGAAGCUCUCAAGUUAGGAGGUGUGGAUGGGAAGCUCUCAAGCUAGCAGGUGUAGAUGGGAAGCUCUCAAGUUAGGAGGAGUGGAUGGGAAGCUCUCCUGUUAGGAGGAGUGGAUGGGAAGCUCUCCUGUUAGGAGGAGUGGAUGGGAAGCUCUCCUGUUAGGAGGUGUGGAUGGGAAGCUCUCCUGUUAGGAGGAGUGGAUGGGAAGCUCUCCUGUUAGGAGGUGUGGAUGGGAAGCUCUCCUGUUAGGAGGUGUGGAUGGGAAGCUCUCAAGCUAGCAGGUGUGGAUGAGAAGCUCUCCUGUUAGGAGGUGUGGAUGGGAAGCUCUCAAGUUAGGAGGUGUGGAUGGGAAGCUCUCAAGUUAGGAGGAGUGGAUGGGAAGCUCUCCUGUUAGGAGGAGUGGAUGGGAAGCUCUCCUGUUAGGAGGUGUGGAUGGGAAGCUCUCCUGUUAGGAGGUGUGGAUGGGAAGCUCUCCUGUUAGGAGGUGUGGAUGGGAAGCUCUCCUGUUAGGAGGAGUGGAUGGGAAGCUCUCCUGUUAGGAGGAGUGGAUGGGAAGCUGUCCUGUUAGGAGGUGUGGAUGGGAAGCUCUCCUGUUAGGAGGUGUGGAUGGGAAGCUCUCCUGUUAGGAGGUGUGGAUGGGAAGCUCUCAAGCUAGCAGGUGUGGAUGGGAAGCUCUCCUGUUAGGAGGUGUGGAUGGGAAGCUCUCCUGUUAGGAGGUGUGGAUGGGAAGCUCUCCUGUUAGGAGGUGUGGAUGGGAAGCUCUCCUGGCCUUGCCUGGCAUGGGCUUCUGAGCCAUGGCUGGUGUUGAAUCAGUGCCCAGAUGUCUCUGUUGGUUGCUGUGCUCUGGUCACACCUGCACCACACCUCCAGCUGGCAGUGGAGCCCAAGACCUUGGCUAGGCACUGGAGGUCAGCCUGGAGGGACUUUCAGGUGACCAGACAUGAACACCUGGGUGAAACCUUCUUCUUGGUGGUAUCUCCCAGCUUGGCUUCUGCUGCCCUUGGACAGGGCUGCAGGAGCUCCUUCCCAGGAGCAUGGAGCCAAACAGGGAGAAAUAAGCUAAGGGUCCCAAGAGGCCAUUUUUCUACUGCUGGUUGGUCUCAGGUGGUUUGCCAGGUUGGGCUGGCACCAUCCCUCCUGUCUGAGGGACAUUUGGUUGGCUCUGAAAGAAACCUAACAGAGCUCUGCUUGGACCUUCCCAACCUCAAGGCUGUGGACUGAGCAGCAGUGCUGUGGAGUGAGGAAGGUGAAGUUCUCCCACGUGGGACUUUGGGUUGCACUUUGGGCUCACAUAACAGGCAAAGAGAAGGUAUCAGAGAGUCAAUAACCAGAGGGUUGCCCCUUUGAGCUUGGCCAAGCCAAGGGUUGGCCCUGAAGAGCAGCAGGACACUUGGAAGUGGCAUUGUCACAGCCUCCUUCCACUCUUUGGAACACAGCAGGGUUGAACCUGGGCCAAAAAGAAAAGCCCCAGACAAAACUGACACCACCCCAAGUAGAUCACAGGACUUGAAGGCCUCUCAAACACCUUUUCUGUUCUCACUCUUGACUUGAUGUUGUGUCUUAGGAACUAUCAGCACCAAAACACGUAGGGUAGGGUAAGAUUUAGCCAACACCACAGCAUGGUGACUUGUAGGGACCAACAAGCUUCAUUAUCCCAGCCUGGGCUCUGUAGAGGAGGACCUUAGCCAGCAGACAUCAUCCCACCACUGACCUGGGCACACUUCACCCUGAACUGCUUCAGGUUUGGCCCCACAGCUCAACAGGAGAUGUCAAACUCUCUCCUGACAGGGAAAGGAAACAUUAAAGGUGUGGGGUGGGGAGGGAGAAAAGUCUCCAGGAGCUCCUGGAGAGGCUCACCCAACCUUCCUGCUGCCAGGAGCUGCCAGGAGCUGGUUUAGCUUUAAUCCCACUGCUGCUGCUCCUCAUCUCCUUAUGCCCAGCUAGAAACAGUCCUUAGCUCAAGCAGGCUGUGCAGGAUCUUCAGCAGCUGUUGGAGUGAGAAGCUUUGGGGAGCAUCAACCAACCUUGGCUUUAGGCUUGGACCCACAUCCACACUUCCAGGGCUCACCACAAGGCUCUGCAGCCACCCCCAUGGCUUUGGGUAGCUCCUUCUGAAGGUGGCUUUGUGGGGCUGUGGUGUGGGGGGGGAGAUGCUCCCUGCUACUAUAUGGGGCUUGAUUGCCCUCCCCUGCAGCUCUGACCCUUUGCCCUGUGGAGGGGGGCUGGGGUAGAUGGAAGGAACAAUCCCAAGCCCUUUACCUUGGCUUGGGGAGGUCACAACCCAAUGGGAGACUCCUUUGGGAAGGACACUGCUGGGGAGCCAUCAGCUUCUCCAGCAAAGCUCUGCUGGUGCUGGUUAAGGAAAAGCUUUCCCAUGGUGAGGGCCAGCAGCAGGCAAGAGCAGGAAGGGUCAAACCACCCUCAGCAGAUCAGCAGAGGGGCUGGGAGAGUAAAAUUCCAGCUGAAGGAGGAGGAAGGUAACCCUCAAAGCACCUUUCUGGGGUGCAGGAUGGUACCAAGGACCUUCCUGGAAGUUCAGGGUGGCAUCAAAGACCUUCCUGGGGUGCAGGAUGGCACCCAGGGGCUUUCUGGAGUGCAGGUUGGCAACCAAACCUUCCUAGAGCACAGGAUGGCACCCAGGGGCUUUCUGGAGUGCAGGAUGGCAACCAAACCUUCCUAGAGCACAGGAUGGCACCCAGGGACUUCCUGGAGUGCAGGUUGGCAACCAAACCUUCCUAGAGCACAGGAUGGCACCCAGGGGCUUUCUGGAGUGCAGGUUGGCAACCAAACCUUCCUAGAGCACAGGAUGGCACCCAGGGGCUUUCUGGAGUGCAGGUUGGCAACCAAACCUUCCUAGAGCACAGGAUGGCACCCAGGACCUGCUUGGAGUGCAGGUUGGCAACCAAACCUUCCUAGAGCACAGGAUGGCACCCAGGACCUGCUUGGAGUGCAGGUUGGCAACCAAACCUUCCUAGAGCACAGGAUGGCACCCAGGGGCUUUCUGGAGUGCAGGUUGGCAACCAAACCUUCCUAGAGCACAGGAUGGCACCCAGGACCUGCUUGGAGUGCAGGUUGGCAACCAAACCUUCCUAGAGCACAGGAUGGCACCCAGGGGCUUUCUGGAGUGCAGGUUGGCAACCAAACCUUCCUAGAGCACAGGAUGGCACCCAGGACCUGCUUGGAGUGCAGGAUGGCAACCAAACCUUCCUAGAGCACAGGAUGGCACCCAGGACCUGCCUGGAGUGCAGGAUGCCACCCAAACUUUGCCAUUCCCCCUCCUCAGCGUGGAGCAAAGCCUGUGCCAGUCUCCUCUCUGUGUAAUUAAUUCCCUGGGGUUUGUUUUUAGUCCAUUUUGAGUGGUUUUUGAGUAUUAUUGGACCUGAAGCCAAACCAAAUACCAAAAAACAAAAGCAAAUCAAAAGGAGCCACCCCCAGAAGAGAGUAUUUCACCCCCCCAACACCUGAACCAUGUCUUCCAAAGCUGAAGUAGGGAACACAGCCUCAAAGGGAUGCCCCCACAAAUGCCCAUCCAAAGUGUUACACUGGGGGGGUGGGGAUGGGGGUUGUUGUAUGGGGUUGAUUGGGGUUUGUGUGUGUGUGUGUGUGUGCCUCCUCCUCCCCCUUUUCCUCCUCCUCCUCCACCUCCUGCAAGUUUGUUUUCUGGUCUGCUUUUUGGUCCUCCUCCUUCUCUUCCUCCUCCUUCUCUUCCUCCUCCUUCUCUUCCUCCUCCUUCUCUUCCUCCUCCUCCAAGUUUGUUUUCUGUUCUGCUUUUUGGUCCUCCUCCUUCUCCUCCUUCUCCUCCUUCUCCUCCUUCUCCUCCUUCUCCUCCUUCUCCUCCUUCUCCUCCUUCUCCUCCUUCUCCUCCUUCUCCUCCUUCUCCUCCUUCUCCUCCUUCUCCUCCUUCUCCUCCUUCUCCUCCUUCUCCUCCUUCUCCUCCUUCUCCUCCUUCUCCUCCUUCUCCUCCUUCUCCUCCUUCUCCUCCUUCUCCUCCUCCUCCUCUGUUUGUUUUCUGUUCUGCUUUUUGGUCUUCAUCCUCUUCCUCCUCCUCCUCCUCCCCCUCCUCCUCCUCCUUUGUUUUCUGUUCUGCUUUUUGGUUCUCAAGAGCAGGUUGGGAAUCUCCUCCCCCCCCUCCCCAACCCUCCUCCCUCCCUCUCCAUCUCUGUGAACAGAUUUGAGCCAAGAGUUUGUAUCCCUCUGCCCCUCUUUCCUGUACCCUGUAGAAGGUUGAGAGGUCUCUUCUCUUCCACAUUGUUUCCAAGACAAAAAAAAAAGAAAACCAACCAAAAAAAACCAAAAAACACCCAAAAAAAUCAAUAAAAAGAGACAAAAAAAAGGACAAAAAUUAAUUAAUUAAUUAAUGAAAAGAAAUAAAAGAGCCCAAAAAACAAAAGAAACCUCAAAGGGUUUGGUGGUUGA